RNAcentral lists this ribosomal RNA (508 nucleotides) under uncultured Pseudomonadota bacterium. RNAcentral describes it as "bacterial SSU rRNA". It matches the Rfam family "Bacterial small subunit ribosomal RNA", at positions 355 to 853 of the family's 1533-position model. Lineage: Bacteria; Pseudomonadati; Pseudomonadota. The record is from RNAcentral.
UGGGGAAUAUUGGACAAUGGGCGAAAGCCUGAUCCAGCCACGCCGCGUGAGUGAUGAAGGCCUUCGGGUCGUAAAGCUCUGUGGGGAGGGACGAACAAGUUGCGUGCUAACACCACGUGACCCUGACGGUACCUCCUUAGCAAGCACCGGCUAACCAUGUGCCAGCAGCCGCGGUAAUACAUGGGGUGCAAACGUUGCUCGGAAUUAUUGGGCGUAAAGCGCGCGUAGGCGGUCACUUAAGUCGGAUGUGAAAGCCCCUGGCUCAACCGGGGAAGUGCACCCGAAACUGAGUGGCUUGAGUACGAAAGAGGGUCGCGGAAUUCCCGGUGUAGAGGUGAAAUUCGUAGAUAUCGGGAGGAACACCGGUGGCGAAGGCGGCGACCUGGGUCGAGACUGACGCUGAGGCGCGAAAGCGUGGGGAGCAAACAGGAUUAGAUACCCUGGUAGUCCACGCCGUAAACGAUGGGUGCUAGAUGUUUCUGGUAUUGACCCCGGAGGCGUCGUAGCU